This is an RNA transcript of Mustela erminea (ermine), 5247 nucleotides long. It is a transcript of the gene named zinc finger protein 345-like, with no coding region annotated. NCBI's taxonomy places the organism in Eukaryota, Metazoa, Chordata, Mammalia, Carnivora, Mustelidae. The record is from RefSeq and is a predicted model, not a curated record. The transcript is spliced from 6 exons.
UUGAGACAGCAGCUGCACUGGCAACAAGCCAAACCUUACAAUGUUCUCAUAACAAUCCAGGGAAACACGGUGGCACUCUAGCUCGCCACCCGUGAAAGUCCUCGGUUAAAGAGGUUCCCAAGAACUGUUGCUCUAUUGGGUUAACCCCUUCUAGGCACAAGGCUCCCAACAGAGAGGGAGAAGUAAACUCCCCAACUAGCAGGGAGCCAGAGGUGGGCCUCAAUCCUAGGACUGUGGAAUUACGACCUGAGCCAUCCAGGCACCCCAUCUGGUCCAUUUGUACAUUUUAAAUGGGUGAAUUAUACACCAUGGAAAUUCUGUGCAAAUAAAGCUAUUACAAGGAACCCCAAAUAAGAAAUACCUGCAUAAGAAGACUUAGUAUUAUAACAUCUCAGGACUAUAUAAAUUCAUCUAUUAAACACACACACACUUGUAAGAUUUCAAUGGGAAUUUAGGAUCUAACUUUCUUGUGUGUCUUAAACUUUGUGAUGAUACAAAAACAAUUUUGAAAAGCACAUAGGAAAAGAAGUUUUGUCAAAGUACACAUACAUAAUUACUAGUAUGAUUUAUGUUCAACGUUUUGAUGUUCGAUGAAGAAAAUGGAGAGAUGUGAAAAUCUGUCUCAGCUUCUGUAAAGAAUCAAUAGAAUGGAUAUCUGUGUAAUUCUGUGUUUUUAAUUUCUAUAGAUCUCUGUUUCUUUAUAUAUCUCUACAUAUAUAGAAGGAAGGAAAGCUUUCUUUAUGAAUUGCCUAACCUAAGUGUGACAGAAGGCAAGUCUAAUGUCGGCAAGGAAGUCCAGCAGGCUAGAAGGCCAGGAAAGAGCUGACGUUGAAGCUGGAGAAUCUGAAGACGGUCUGGAGACAGAGUUAGAAUCUCUCCUGAAGACCAACACUAAAGGAGAAAGUGAAGAAGAAAUGGCCCUUUCUCAGGGACAGCUGGCCUUCAGGGAUGUGGCCAUCGAAUUCUCCGAGGAGGAGUGGGGAUGCCUGACCCACACUCAGCGGCAACUGUACAGGGACGUGAUGUUGGAGAACUAUAGACACCUGCUCUUCUUGGGUCUCAUUGUGUCAAAGCCUGAUUUGGUCUCCUUUUUGGAGCAAAAGAAGGACCCUUGGGAUAUGAAGAGAAAGAAGACAGUGGUCUUUGAUCCAGCUGUAUCUUCACAGGGCACUCUGAGCUUCCUGCCAGAGCCAUGCAAAAAAGCUUCAUUUCAAGAUGUAUCCAUGGGUCGAUAUAAACAUAGCAUCCUUGAGAAGUUACACCUAAUAAUAGACUGCGAUAAUGAUCGAAAAGGAUAUAUCCAAAUUGAGACUACUGCCCAUAAUAGUGAAAGAUACAAAAUACUUUGUAAAACCUUCCUUUUUAAGUCCAUUAGUUCUGCAAGGCCUGGUGUUUCUGUCAGCAGGAGCUCCCCUCAAACACUCAAACGUCCAUAUUUAUCGAUAGAGAAUGUGGAACAUCUGGAAAGUUACCGAGCCUGUGCUGAACAUAAUGAUUUGAACAAUUCUGAAAAUAGGAUUGGAUUGACCAUUCAUUCAAAUAUUUCUAAACUUCAGAGAUUUCAACAUGGAGAAACAGCUGCUAAGUGGGAUCCAUUUGAGAGGUCCUUCACUAAAGACUCAACCCUUCCAAAUUCCCAGAGCAUUUUCAAUGGAGAGGGAAUUGCUCAAGGCAGUAUAUCUGAGAAAAAAAUUUAUCAAGGCUCAAAUGUUAAGAAACAUCUGAGGACUCAUUUUGCAGAGAACCAUUUCAAACUUAUUAAACGUGGGGAAGUCUUUUCUCAAAGAUCCAUCCUUCUGUCUAACAGUAUGCAUAUAAGGGAUUGGCCGAAUGAAUGUGAAAGAGAUUUUAAGCAGUGCUCCAGUUUUAGUGAUCAUCCAAAAAUUUAUAUGGGAAAAAACCCAUCCAGACAUAAGAAGCCUGGGAACACGUUUAGUCAGUCAUUGGGGACACAUAUACAUAAGACAAUCUGUAGUGGAGAGAAACCUUACAAAAGUAAAGAACACAGCACAGACAUUAAAUUGCCAUCAACCCUUACUCACCAUCACAGAAUUCAUACUGGAGAGAAACCUUUCCAAUGUCAAGAAUGUGGGAAGGCCUUUAAGCACAGCUCAAGUCUUACUCACCAUCACAGAAUUCAUAGUGGAGGGAAACCUUACCAAUGUCAAGAAUGUGGCAAGGCUUUUAACCGCAGCACAAGUUUUAUUCAACAUCACAGAAUUCAUACUGGAGAGAAACCUUACCAAUGUCAAGAAUGUGGGAAGGCCUUUAACCAGUCUUCACACCUUACUCAACAUCAGAGAAUUCAUACAGGAGAGAAACCUUACCAAUGUCAAGAAUGUGGCAAGGCCUUUAACUACAGCUCAAGUCUUACUCGACAUCACAGAAUUCAUACUGGAGAGAAACCUUACCAAUGUCAAGAAUGUGGCAAGGCCUUUAGCAAUUCUUCACACCUUACUCAACAUAACAGCAUUCAUACUGGAGAGAAACCUUUCCAAUGUCAAGAAUGUGGCAAGGCCUUUAACCGGAUAUCACGCCUCACUGAACAUCACAGAAUUCAUACUGGAGAGAAACCUUACCAAUGUGUAGAAUGUAGCAAGGCCUUUAACGGGGAAUCCAACCUUACUCGACAUCACAGAAUUCAUACUGGUGAGAAACCAUACAAAUGUGAAGAAUGUGGCAAGGCCUUUAGGCAGCAUUCAAAACUUAUUCAACAUUACAGAAUUCAUACUGGAGAGAAACCUUACAAAUGUGAAGAAUGUGGCAAGGCCUUUAGGCAGCAGUCAAACCUUCUUGAGCAUUGCAGAAUUCAUUUUAGAGAGAAACCUUACAAAUGUAAAGGGUGUGGGAAGGCCUUUAUCCAUCAGUCAGGCCUUACUACACAUUACAGAGUUCAUACUGGAGAGAAACCUUAGAAAUAUGUAGAAUGUGGCAAGGCCUUUAACCGGAUGUCACACCUUACUGAACAUCACAGAAUUCCUACUGGAACUAGUCCUUACAAAUUUGAAGACUGAGAGAAUUUGGGAGGACUGCUGAACUCUUAACUCCACAUCAGAGAAUUCAAUUUGGAGAGUGAUUAUACACAUGUAAAGAAUGUGGCAAGACCUUUAGGCAAUGCUAAACCCUUGUUCCUUAUCCAAGAAUGUAUAGUGGAGGUGAUUCUACAAAUAGAAAAAUACAGCAAACCCUUUCUUAGUGCUCAAGCCUCUCCCAGCAUUACAGAAUUCAUAGUAGAGAGAAAUCUUGUAUGUGUAAGAAUGUGGUAAAGCUUUUGGACUCUCAACACUUAAGUCAGCAUCCGAGAGUUCAUACUGGGGAGAAAUACUAGAAAUGGAAAGAACAUGGCAGGCCUCUGGCUGGAAGUCAUAACUUGCUCAACAUCACUGUUACCAUCCAGGAACAAGACUGUAAUAUGUAAAGACAGUGGCCAAGACUUUAACUAGAAUUCAGCCCGUACUUGGUGUCCCAAGAUGCAGUCUUGGGUCAAACGCUACAAACAUAAUGAAUGAGGAAAGACUGUCUCUUACAGUUUAGGAAACAUCAGAGAGUUCAGAGAAGAAAAGGAACUUGACAGAUAAAAGUCCAUAGAUAUGUAUUUAGUUGAACAUCAAAUGUCAGUAAAUGUCAUAGAAUUUCCAGAACAAAGCAGUACACUAGUCACUCUCUUCUUAGAUUAUAUCAAAAAAGUCUUAAUGCAAAAUUAGUUAGAUAAUGUAUGUGCUAUUAUGCUUCAAAAGAUAGAAGGGACUUUCACAUGAGUAUAAUUUCAGUGUGUUUGUGUUUCCAUGGACCCUAUAUGAGAUUUGUGACUUGUGAUUAUUCAUGUGUUUCUACUCUUAGAACUCUUCAGAAAAUUCAUUUAUUCCUAGUGAGUGUGUGAAAGUAUGUGGGUCCUUGUUAUUACAUCAGGGAUAUGAGAUGCCCUUCUUCUUUAGGUGGGACUCAUGCAUAUCUAAUUUUCCAUGGAAGAUGAAGGACUGUGUAACGUACAAUAUAUGAGGAAAAUCUAAGUGAAUAUUCCUCCUGUGGUUAUAACAGUGAUAUAGAUCCUCAUGACGUAGUUGUUCAGGACAUCAUUCUCCCAUUUAUUAAAACUAAAAAAAUUGUGACCAUUACCAAUUACAUGUUUUACUAAAUGGUGUUUUUAAUGAAAACAAGAUGGCAAUCUUCACAAUAGUAAUUGUUAGAGAGUAUGAGUUGAUGGGUUUGAAAUGAAGAAAUCCUGACAGAUAUCAGAGAAUAGCUAACUUAUGUAAAAUGACAUACACUCAUACAUCCACAUUUUUAGAGAAUUACCAGAGUCCUGAAAGUUUUUUCAUAUGAAAUACUAAGCUGGUAAGAAGUUAAAAUAGAGUGCUGUCAGAUGUCUUCUCCAAGCCUCACGGUAAUGAUAAAAUCAGAACAAUGUAGUAGAUACAGAAGACAUAAAGAGAAAAUCUAAGUAUUCCCUUCUUUAAAAUCAUCAAAUCACAAUGAUAGCUAAUGAAUAAGAAAGCGAUGAAUAAUUCUAAACAGCCAGACUGUAACUCCAUACUUGCACUAAUACUUGCUUCAAAUAUAAAGGGCCUAAAUUCUUGAAUCCAAAGAUACAGAUUGCCUGAAAGGAAAGAAAUACCAGACCCAACCAUAUACAGUCUUCAAGAGAAUCACUUCAGCUUUAAGAACACUGACUGAAAGUCCAAGUGUGGAAAAGAAUAUUCCCUGCAAAUGGAAUUGAAAAGAAAGCAGGUUAGCUCUGCUUACAUCAGUGAAAAUAAACUUUAAGCCAGAGAGUGUAGUAAAACAUGGCAAAGCUCAUUUAACAUAACGGGCUGACUUUGUGUAGUAUUCAUAAUGAUGUAUUUUUUGGCAGAAUGUCAAAAAAGACUUUCCCCAUUGUUUUGGUUUUGGAAGAACAGGGCAGUUUUUCUUUAGAUUCAGUUGCAAAUGAUAGGCAUCCUUAGCCUUAGUUGUGAUAGUGGAUUUAGUCCAAGCUGGGGGUUUUUUGGAAAUGUACAUCUUCCCGUAAGAAACCCUUAUAUUCUAGAUGCUUCAACGUUUCUAGCAUGGCUUGCCUAUGACCAUGCAUUUACUAAAUAUAAAAGGUUCACUCCUUUAAUUGUGGAGAAAGGUAGCUAACACAUGUAGUUAUUAUAAAGUUUUUUCUGGUGAGAUAAACAACACCAGGCAAAGUGGGUGCAAGGCAAGAUUUAUUAAAAACACUCUCCAGCGAAAUUUCAGGGCUCAGGAGAAGGGGAGCCAGGAAAG